CGCAAUGGGGGAAACCCUGACGCAGCGACGCCGCGUGUAGGAAGAAGGCCUUCGGGUCGUAAACUACUGUCAAGAGGGAAGAAACCGUAGGGCAAUAAUAAGGCUCUGCGCUGACGGUACCUCUAGAGGAAGCACCGGCUAACUCCGUGCCAGCAGCCGCGGUAAUACGGAGGGUGCGAGCGUUAAUCGGAAUCACUGGGCGUAAAGCGUGCGUAGGCGGCGUAUCAAGUCAGGCGUGAAAGCCCUCGGCUCAACCGGGGAAUUGCGCUUGAAACUGGUAUGCUAGAGUCUCGGAGAGGUUGGCGGAAUUCCAGGUGUAGGAGUGAAAUCCGUAGAUAUCUGGAGGAACACCGGUGGCGAAGGCGGCCAACUGGACGAGUACUGACGCUGAGGUACGAAAGCGUGGGUAGCAAACAGGAUUAGAUACCCUGGUAGUCCACGCUGUAAACGAUGGAUAUUAGGUGUCGGGGUUUUACUUCGGUGCCGCAGUUAACGCGUUAAAUAUCCCGCCUGGG
Molecule: ribosomal RNA, 515 nt
Filed under: Desulfovibrio sp. LS1101/00
Lineage: Bacteria; Pseudomonadati; Thermodesulfobacteriota; Desulfovibrionia; Desulfovibrionales; Desulfovibrionaceae
Description: bacterial SSU rRNA
Rfam family: Bacterial small subunit ribosomal RNA
Source: RNAcentral